Molecule: ribosomal RNA, 497 nt
Filed under: uncultured bacterium
Lineage: Bacteria
Description: partial 16S ribosomal RNA
Rfam family: Bacterial small subunit ribosomal RNA
Source: RNAcentral
GAUGAACGCUGGCGGCGUGCCUAAUACAUGCAAGUCGAGCGAACGGACGAGAAGCUUGCUUCUCUGAUGUUAGCGGCGGACGGGUGAGUAACACGUGGAUAACCUACCUAUAAGACUGGGAUAAAUUCGGGAAACCGUAGCUAAUACCGGAUAAUAUUUUGAACCGCAUGGUUCAAAAGUGAAAGACGGUCUUGCUGUCACUUAUAGAUGGAUCCGCGCUGCAUUAGCUAGUUGGUAAGGUAACGGCUUACCAAGGCAACGAUGCAUAGCCGACCUGAGAGGGUGAUCGGCCACACUGGAACUGAGACACGGUCCAGACUCCUACGGGAGGCAGCAGUAGGGAAUCGUCCGCAAUGGGCGAAAGCCUGACGGAGCAACGCCACGUGAGUGAUGAAGGUCUUCGGAUCGUAAAACUCUGUUAUUAGGGAAGAACAUAUGUGUAAGUAACUGUGCACAUCUUGACGGUACCUAAUCAGAAAGCCACGGCUAACUACGUG